Molecule: long non-coding RNA, 419 nt
Filed under: Gopherus agassizii (Agassiz's desert tortoise)
Lineage: Eukaryota; Metazoa; Chordata; Testudines; Testudinidae
Description: lncRNA (ENSGAGG00000024364.1)
Source: RNAcentral
GGGCUGAAUAAUUCUAAAGAUAAUUCUUUUGACCUAAAUGGAGUUAUAGGUGGGAUGAAUUUGGCUCUUCAUUUCCCACCACUCCCUCAUUAUGCAGCCUGCUCUUUGUAUUCUCCUCAUCCCUCAUUCCUCUCUUUUGUCUAGGCUGUGUACAGAGCCUUAUAGAUUGACUGUAUGUGGCAACUGCACCCUACAGAACCUGGAACGCAUGGGGCAGAGAUAAUAUCUAUUAACGUCUUUGUAAAGCUCUGUAAAGCUCCAGAGUCAUUUGAUGCACCAGCAAGCUUUGUUUUAUUUGGUCCAAAACUGUUUCCUGACUCCACUCCUAGAAUAAUGAUCAAGAUAUAGGAACUCCAGUUGUUCUUAGUGACAUUAAUAUCUCUCUGUGAAAACUUUCAUACCGUUGGACUACACACGGU